RNAcentral lists this non-coding RNA (69 nucleotides) under Plasmodium falciparum 3D7. Lineage: Eukaryota; Apicomplexa; Aconoidasida; Haemosporida; Plasmodiidae. The record is from RNAcentral.
AAUCUUUUUCCUCUGAUAUGUUAUCAGCUAAAAGAAAAACUAAAUCAAAUCUACUUAAUAAUGGGAAUG